GACGGACGCUGGCGGCGUGCCUAAUACAUGCAAGUCGAACGCAUUUUCUUUCACCGUAGCUUGCUACACCGAAAGAAAAUGAGUGGCGAACGGGUGAGUAACACGUGGGUAACCUGCCCAUCAGCGGGGGAUAACACUUGGAAACAGGUGCUAAUACCGCAUAAUUCCAUUUACCGCAUGGUAGAUGGGUGAAAGGCGCUUUUGCGUCACUGAUGGAUGGACCCGCGGUGCAUUAGCUAGUUGGUGGGGUAACGGCCUACCAAGGCUGCGAUGCAUAGCCGACCUGAGAGGGUGAUCGGCCACACUGGGACUGAGACACGGCCCAGACUCCUACGGGAGGCAGCAGUAGGGAAUCUUCGGCAAUGGACGCAAGUCUGACCGAGCAACGCCGCGUGAGUGAAGAAGGUUUUCGGAUCGUAAAACUCUGUUGUUAGAGAAGAACAAGGAUGAGAGUGGAAAGUUCAUCCCUUGACGGUAUCUAACCAGAAAGCCACGGCUAACUACGUG
Molecule: ribosomal RNA, 507 nt
Filed under: uncultured bacterium
Lineage: Bacteria
Description: partial 16S ribosomal RNA
Rfam family: Bacterial small subunit ribosomal RNA
Source: RNAcentral